This 424-nucleotide ribosomal RNA is filed under the name uncultured prokaryote. RNAcentral describes it as "bacterial SSU rRNA". It matches the Rfam family "Bacterial small subunit ribosomal RNA", at positions 355 to 796 of the family's 1533-position model. The record is from RNAcentral.
UGGGGUAUCUUGGACAAUGGGCGCAAGCCUGAUCCAGCCAUGCCGCGUGGGUGAAGAAGGCCUUAGGGUUGUAAAGCCCUUUCGGUGGUGAAGAUAAUGACGGUAACCACUAAAGAAGCCCCGGCUAACUUCGUGCCAGCAGCCGCGGUAAUACGAAGGGGGCUAGCGUUGUUCGGAAUUACUGGGCGUAAAGCGCGCGUAGGCGGACAGGUCAGUCAGAGGUGAAAUCCCGGAGCUCAACUCCGGAACUGCCUUUGAUACUGCUUGUCUUGAGACCGGGAGAGGAGAGUGGAAUUCCCAGUGUAGAGGUGAAAUUCGUAGAUAUUGGGAAGAACACCCGUGGCGAAGGCGGCUCUCUGGCCCGGUUCUGACGCUGAGGUGCGACAGCGUGGGGAGCAAACAGGAUUAGAUACCCGCGUAGUCC